CUAGUGAUUAGAGUUUGAUCAUGGCUCAGAACGUACGCUGGCGGCACGCCUAACACAUGCAAGUCGAACGCAGUAGCAAUACUGAGUGGCAAACGGGUGAGUAUAAUGUGGGAAUCUGCCUUUUGGUUUGGAAUAACACGGGGAAACUUGUGCUAAUACCGAAUAAGCCCUUACGGGGAAAGUUUUAAUGCCGAAAGAUGAGCCCGCACUUGAUUAGCUAGUUGGUAAGGUAAAAGCUUACCAAGGCAACGAUCAAUAGCUGUUCUUAGAGGAAGACCAGCCACAUUGGGACUGAGACACGGCCCAGACUCCUACGGGAGGCAGCAGUGGGGAAUCUUGCACAAUGGGGGAAACCCUGAUGCAGCGAUGCCGCGUGAGUGAAGAAGGCCUUUGGGUUGUAAAACUCUUUCGUCGGGGAAGAAAAUGACU
This 429-nucleotide ribosomal RNA is filed under the name uncultured Alphaproteobacteria bacterium. RNAcentral describes it as "bacterial SSU rRNA". It matches the Rfam family "Bacterial small subunit ribosomal RNA", at positions 1 to 456 of the family's 1533-position model. The record is from RNAcentral. Lineage: Bacteria; Pseudomonadati; Pseudomonadota; Alphaproteobacteria.